This 255-nucleotide ribosomal RNA is filed under the name uncultured prokaryote. RNAcentral's name for it is "partial 16S ribosomal RNA". It matches the Rfam family "Bacterial small subunit ribosomal RNA", at positions 521 to 775 of the family's 1533-position model. The record is from RNAcentral.
UAAUACGUAGGGUGCAAGCGUUAAUCGGAAUUACUGGGCGUAAAGCGUGCGCAGGCGGUUGUGCAAGACAGAUGUGAAAUCCCCGGGCUCAACCUGGGAACUGCAUUUGUGACUGCACAGCUUGAGUGCGGCAGAGGGGGAUGGAAUUCCGCGUGUAGCAGUGAAAUGCGUAGAUAUGCGGAGGAACACCGAUGGCGAAGGCAAUCCCCUGGGCCUGCACUGACGCUCAUGCACGAAAGCGUGGGGAGCAAACAG